GCGGACGUGGGGAAACUGGUAGACGCAAGGGACUUAAAAUCCCUCGGGCUCAUUGCCAGCGGAUUUACAGCCCGCCCCUCGUCCGGG
This 87-nucleotide transfer RNA is filed under the name Microvirga mediterraneensis. RNAcentral describes it as "Microvirga sp. Marseille-Q2068 tRNA-Leu". Lineage: Bacteria; Pseudomonadati; Pseudomonadota; Alphaproteobacteria; Hyphomicrobiales; Methylobacteriaceae. The record is from RNAcentral.